AGUGAACGCUGGCGGUAGGCCUAACACAUGCAAGUCGAACGGCAGCACAGGAGAGCUUGCUCUCUGGGUGGCGAGUGGCGGACGGGUAAGGAAUACAUCGGAAUCUACUUUUUCGUGGGGGAUAACGUAGGGAAACUUACGCUAAUACCGCAUACGACCUACGGGUGAAAGCAGGGGACCUUCGGGCCUUGCGCGAUUGAAUGAGCCGAUGUCGGAUUAGCUAGUUGGCGGGGUAAAGGCCCACCAAGGCGACGAUCCGUAGCUGGUCUGAGAGGAUGAUCAGCCACACUGGAACUGAGACACGGUCCAGACUCCUACGGGAGGCAGCAGUGGGGAAUAUUGGACAAUGGGCGCAAGCCUGAUCCAGCCAUACCGCGUGGGUGAAGAAGGCCUUCGGGUUGUAAAGCCCUUUUGUUGGGAAAGAAAUCCAACUGGCUAAUACCCGGUUGGGAUGACGGUACCCAAAGAAUAAGCACCGGCUAACUUCGUGCCAGCAGCCGCGGUAA
Molecule: ribosomal RNA, 506 nt
Filed under: uncultured bacterium
Lineage: Bacteria
Description: partial 16S ribosomal RNA
Rfam family: Bacterial small subunit ribosomal RNA
Source: RNAcentral